GAACGAGAAAGUGGAGCAAUCCAUGAGUAAAGUGGCGACCGGGUGAGUAACACGUGACUACCUACCCUCGAGUGGGGAAUAACUCCGGGAAACCGGGGCUAAUACCGCAUAACAUCGAGAGAUCAAAGCAGCAAUGCGCUUGAGGAGGGGGUCGCGCCUGAUUAGCUAGUUGGUGAGGUAACGGCUCACCAAGGCGACGAUCGGUAGCUGGUCUGAGAGGAUGACCAGCCUCACUGGGACUGAGACACGGCCCAGACUCCUACGGGAGGCAGCAGUGGGGAAUAUUGGACAAUGGGCGCAAGCCUGAUCCAGCCAUGCCGCGUGAGUGAUGAAGGCCCUAGGGUUGUAAAGCUCUUUCAGCGGGGAAGAUAAUGACGGUACCCGCAGAAGAAGCCCCGGCUAACUUCGUG
This 410-nucleotide ribosomal RNA is filed under the name uncultured bacterium. Its description in RNAcentral is "bacterial SSU rRNA". It matches the Rfam family "Bacterial small subunit ribosomal RNA", at positions 64 to 507 of the family's 1533-position model. The record is from RNAcentral.